CCUACGGGGGGCAGCAGUGAGGAAUAUUGGUCAAUGGACGAGAGUCUGAACCAGCCAAGUAGCGUGAAGGAUGACUGCCCUAUGGGUUGUAAACUUCUUUUAUAUGGGAAUAAAAUGUUCCACGUGUGGGAUUUUGUAUGUACCAUAUGAAUAAGGAUCGGCUAACUCGGUGCCAGCAGCCGCGGUAAUACGGAGGAUCCGAGCGUUAUCCGGAUUUAUUGGGUUUAAAGGGAGCGUAGGUGGAUUGUUAAGUCAGUUGUGAAAGUUUGCGGCUCAACCGUAAAAUUGCAGUUGAAACUGGCAGUCUUGAGUACAGUAGAGGUGGGCGGAAUUCGUGGUGUAGCGGUGAAAUGCUUAGAUAUCACGAAGAACUCCGAUUGCGAAGGCAGUUCACUGGACUGCAACUGACACUGAGGCUCGAAAGUGUGGGUAUCAAACAGGAUUAGAUACCCCUGUAGUC
Molecule: ribosomal RNA, 460 nt
Filed under: uncultured bacterium
Lineage: Bacteria
Description: partial 16S ribosomal RNA
Rfam family: Bacterial small subunit ribosomal RNA
Source: RNAcentral